RNAcentral lists this small nuclear RNA (292 nucleotides) under Octodon degus (degu). RNAcentral's name for it is "7SK RNA (ENSODEG00000022938.1)". It matches the Rfam family "7SK RNA". Rfam says of the family: 7SK was discovered as an abundant small nuclear RNA in the mid-70s but a possible function has only recently been suggested. Two independent studies have found that 7SK RNA binds the CDK9/cyclin T complex (known as elongation factor P-TEFb). P-TEFb activates transcription by phosphorylating the C-terminal domain of RNA polymerase II. The record is from RNAcentral. Lineage: Eukaryota; Metazoa; Chordata; Mammalia; Rodentia; Octodontidae.
GGAUGUGAGGGCUAUCACCAGGUUUGAUUUAGUUCCUCUGGCUGGCUGGGUGAGUGUCUCCUUCCUCUCUCAGUGCUCCAUGUGCAUCCCUCCCAAAGCUAUAUGCUUGGUCAGAAAGGACAACCACCACAGACAUUCUUCAGGAGGACCAUUCUUCAGUCAAGGGUAUACAAGCAGCUGUGCUCCCCUGCUAGAACCUCCAAACAAGCUCUCAAGAGCUGAGUUGGGUGAUUGCUCAUCUGCCUGGUUGGUGAGACAAACAUUUCCCCAACAACAAUGUGGACAUUUAUUU